Molecule: unclassified non-coding RNA, 376 nt
Filed under: uncultured Pseudobdellovibrionaceae bacterium
Lineage: Bacteria; Pseudomonadati; Bdellovibrionota; Bdellovibrionia; Bdellovibrionales; Pseudobdellovibrionaceae
Description: uncultured Bdellovibrionaceae bacterium contains 16S-23S intergenic spacer region
Source: RNAcentral
UCCGACUUAACGUCGGCAGUCUCUUUAGAGUGCCCAACUUAAUGCUGGCAACUAAAGACAGGGGUUGCGCUCGUUACGGGACUUAACCCAACAUCUCACGACACGAGCUGACGACAGCCAUGCAGCACCUAUGCAGCGACUCCGAAGAGCUACUAUAUCUCUAUAGUAUUCCCCUGCAUUUCGAACCCAGGUAAGGUUUUGCGCGUUGCAUCGAAUUAAACCACAUGCUCCACCGCUUGUGCGGGCCCCCGUCAAUUUCUUUGAGUUUUAACCUUGCGGCCGUACUUCCCAGGCGGGAAACUUAACGCGUUAGCUUCGGCACUGAAGGGGUCAAUACCUCCAACACCAAGUUUCCAUCGUUUAAGGCGUGGACUAC